GACGAACGCUGGCGGCGUGCUUAACACAUGCAAGUCGAACGGAGAAUCUAAGCUUGCUCUUUCUAUCAGAUACGAACGGGUUAGUAACAGGUGAGUAACCUGCUCUUGAACCUGGGAUAAGCGGUGGAAAAACCGUCUAAUACGAGAUCUAAUGACGCAUGACAUCUUCUGUUUGUGGAAAGAAUUUUGGUCAAGGAUGGACUCGCGGCAUAUCAGCUUGUUGGUGAGGUAAUGGCUCACCACGGCGACGACGGGUAGCCGGCCUGAGAGGGUGACCGGCCACACUGGGACUGAGGCAGGGCCCAGACUCCUACGGGAGGCAUGAGUGGGGAAUAUUGCACAAUGGGCGCAAGCAGGAUGCAGCAACGCCGCGUGAGGGAUGACGGCCUUCGGGUUGUAAACCUCUUGUAGUAGGGAAGAAGCGACAGUGACGGUACCUGAAGAAAAAGCAACGGCUAACUACGUG
RNAcentral lists this ribosomal RNA (466 nucleotides) under uncultured bacterium. Its description in RNAcentral is "partial 16S ribosomal RNA". It matches the Rfam family "Bacterial small subunit ribosomal RNA", at positions 28 to 507 of the family's 1533-position model. The record is from RNAcentral.